CUUUAGGUCUUUUUUGUAAUUCUUUCAUUCUUUAUAUCAUUUUCUAGAUCAAUUUUUUUUUUUGAAGGAAUUAGGCUUUUGGAAAAUUGAAAUUGUUUUGUUUUGUUUGAUUUUGUUAGGGUUUUAGACUGAUUGGUAUUUGGUAGGUUGCGGUUCGAUUUUGUUGAAUGUUUUCGUUUUUGUUCUCGUUUCUAGUUUUUUGUUCGUCAUUUGUUAAUCUUCGCCGGUCAGUUUUUUUGAACUUCUUCAUUUGUUGUUCAUCGGCAGCGAGCAGGAUAGUGAGUCUAUGAGUUUGGGCAGAUGGUGCUUCUCCUUCUAAGGGUUCAUAUCAGAUUAUCAGUAGCAACGAGUAGUACCAGUAGUACUGGAAAAAGUAUCGAGUCAUUAUUAUGCAGACUUGUGUAUCGGAUGUUCAUCUCUCUUGAAUAUUGAUGAAGAGGUAAUGAUAUGGUAACUACGUACUCGUUGCUAAUAGGCCCACUAUAAGUUGCAGUAAUUUGCUAUUCAUUUCUUUUGUUGCCACUAUGAACAUUAUGCUAAACUUUUGGAGAGAUUUUUCAGGUUCAUAUCUUCUGUGAAUGGUCAAGAAUUGUGCAUUCAUUAGGCAUAUUUUGGUUCUAAUACAAGCUAUAUAGCAUCUUCCUCCCAUUCCUUGGUUCCAACCUUCAAUAAAAAAGGCAUUUAAGUUGUAUUUAGCUAUUGUGAUUUCAUUUGUGGUUAAACACUGCUGAUUAUACUUUCCUUCAAUCCGUAGUUGAAAUCAUCAGGUAUAACUGGAAAUAGUUUGGCUGAUGCUUCACUUGUGGAUUCACUUGUUAUUUAUUCCCAACUCAAUAAAUUUGCAGGAGCAUGUGGCCUCAUCAAUUGAGAAAGGUAUCAAGGAACAAAUAGAUUUGCUUGUGGUUUGCCGUGGAGGUUUGAGUUCGUUGCAACAACUUGACCAGCCACACUCUGAAGGUUUGAUUGAUUGUGUUCAGGUAAUGCACUAAAAUCCUUGUUUUAGGAUUUUUAGAAUUGGACCUAUCAUGUGAAGUUUUAAAGAGGCCAUGAAUGAGCCUUUGGUUUUAUGUGCUGGUGGAAUUAGUUGGAGAUGGAUAGGAUUCCCUCUAAUGUGAAAUUAUUUGGUAUAUAUGCAUAAUGCGUUGAUAUGA
Molecule: long non-coding RNA, 1151 nt
Organism: Beta vulgaris subsp. vulgaris (sugar beet)
Lineage: Eukaryota; Viridiplantae; Streptophyta; Magnoliopsida; Caryophyllales; Amaranthaceae
Exons: 2
Source: RefSeq, a predicted model, not a curated record